Molecule: unclassified non-coding RNA, 151 nt
Filed under: uncultured fungus
Lineage: Eukaryota; Fungi
Description: sequence contains ITS1
Source: RNAcentral
UUAUUUCUCAUGUUUGAUUCAGACACAAAGACUGAUUAAUGCAUAAAAGCGACGCCAAAGCGCCGAAGCACAUCUUGCUUCCACAGGUUUGCAAGGUUGAAGGCCCAGAGGCCAUUCAGUAAUGAUCCCUCCGCAGGUUCACCUACGGAGA